Heterocephalus glaber (naked mole-rat) is the source of this 1773-nucleotide non-coding RNA. Lineage: Eukaryota; Metazoa; Chordata; Mammalia; Rodentia; Bathyergidae. The record is from RefSeq and is a predicted model, not a curated record.
UGAUGGGGAGAACCUCUAUCAAUACAUCCCAGGAAGUAGAGAACAGAAGUAGACAUAAGAGAGCACAUAUGUAGAAGAGGAACUGGCCGUCACUGAAGCCCUUGCAAUUGACUGUGGUCUCAGAUGGGGCAAACUUCUCGUGAACUGGUGAGCUGAGGCUGAACCUCACUAACCAACAGGUCUUGCUAAGCAUGUGGUACAUGCUGUGCUUGGUUGUUUGGCAACAAAACCCCCCAUAGGAUGUGCAUUUUAGGUAACAUAUGAAACAAGAAUUGUUAGGAGUUGCCUGCUCCUCCCAGUUACUCAGGAAUCCAUACUGUCAGAAGCUCACCAUCAUAUAACUGAAUGUCCUGGAACAUGUGACCUUCAAGACUUCCAGAGAAAGGAAGAAAAAGAUGAAUGAGGACACUGGCUUUCAACCCUCAGUACACAAAUAAUAUGUCACUUCUGAUCACAGUCCAUUGGUCUAAACAAGUCACAUGACUCCAGGGUCCUGUAAGGAAGGUUGGAUAAUGCAGGACACUUGAAAUAUUUGAGAAGUAUUAACAGUUUCUGCUACAAGUGAGGAGUGAAUAUAAAGGUAGAUAUAGUCCCUACCCUCAAUUUCUGUUCAAAAUAAUGAUACAAAACACAUGGUACUACAUAUUCUUGCAGAGAUACAGAUAAACUGCUGAAGAAGUUAAGGUUCUGGAGAGAUUGGCAAGGUUGGGUCCUGGACAGGAUAUUGGCGAACAUGGCAUUACAAGGGGAGGGGAGCUGAAGAACUGAUAGGCUUUGAUAGAUUUAUUUUUGAACAAAGAUAUGUUGGUAGAAAACCAACAAAAAUAAUAAUUAGUUUGCUUGAAGGUAGACUAUGUAAUAAACAAUAAUACUAAUGACAGCAACAAUGAGUGAUAUUUAAUGGAGCACCAAAUAUAUACCAGACCCAGGUCUAAGUCUUCAUAUAUAUUCACUCAGUUAAUCAUUUCAAUAGUCUUUGGUCAAAGGUGAAGCUCAAAGAAAUUCAGUAAUUUGCUUAGGACCACACUAGUAAAUGGCAGAGCCAGGGUUCUCUCUCUAGGGUUCACUCAUUGAAGGAGCAGAUAAGGGCUAGAUUUCAGAAGGUCAUGAAUACCAGGCUAAUGUGCCUGAGUAUUUACUCUGAAGGCAAAGGUACAACUGAAAAUUUCAAAGCAGGAAUUGCAUGAUAAUAUUGAUAAUUAAAUCAUAAAUGGUAUAGCAUGGGGACCUGGGAGAAAUGAAGAAAUGGAGCUGGUCUUCAGUGAUGCAGAGGCUAUGGCCAAUCAAAGAGAAAUAAAGAAUGUUCCAGGCAAGGACAGGCUCACUGGGGGUGUAGAAGUAGGAAUGAAUAUGGUGUGGAACAAGAUAAUGAGAUUUUUCUGACUGGUACAGGUUUAUGGUGUGGAACAAGAUAGUGAGAUUUUUCUGACCGGUACAGGUUUCAUAGUGCGAGUGGAGAUGGGACAAGCGUUAUGGUGAGGGAUCCUAAAGUCAGACCAGGGAGUGCGGUUCAAUUUAGUAGGAAGGGAAGAAACAUCGGUGCUUUGAAGACACAGUAGGAAUGAAUUAAGUGUUGCCUCUUCAUGUCUUUCGCUGUCCUCAGUCUUACUCUAGUCAUGGGCCCAACAUUCCUGGACUUUCAAAGCCUGGGGCGAUUUUUAAAGGCUCCUUGUUGUUCUUUCAAAAGAGUUCCUCUUCUCUACAAGCAAUAAAAUAGUUGAAGUCAGGUUGUUAUUUUCUUUUUUCUAUGAGCCAUUACAAAGGUGUGAAAUA